Molecule: ribosomal RNA, 229 nt
Filed under: uncultured bacterium
Lineage: Bacteria
Description: partial 16S ribosomal RNA
Rfam family: Bacterial small subunit ribosomal RNA
Source: RNAcentral
UGCGUAGGCGGCCUGGUAAGUUGGGUGUGAAAUCCCUCGGCUCAACCGAGGAAUUGCGCUCAAAACUGCCAGGCUUGAGGGAGACAGAGGCAAGCGGAACUCAGGGUGGAGCGGUGAAAUGCGUUGAUAUCCUGGGGAACACCAGUUGCGAAGGCGGCUUGCUGGGUCUCUUCUGACGCUGAGGCACGAAAGCUAGGGGAGCGAACAGGAUUAGAUACCCUGGUAGUCC